ACUUACAGAGUCAUAAAAGCCCCUUGGGAAAGCUGGCCUCAUGCCUUUUCACACAGUUCCUGUACAGUUUCCUGACGUGUGCUACACAACUUAAACUUCAGAAGAAAAUAACAGCAACCUAUAUGCCAGCCUACUGAUGUAUGAACUUCAGAGAAAAAUGGCUCUAUCUUUUCA
Molecule: long non-coding RNA, 174 nt
Organism: Pan troglodytes (chimpanzee)
Lineage: Eukaryota; Metazoa; Chordata; Mammalia; Primates; Hominidae
Exons: 2
Source: RefSeq, a predicted model, not a curated record